This is a non-coding RNA of Lottia gigantea (owl limpet), 251 nucleotides long. It matches the Rfam family "7SK RNA". Rfam says of the family: 7SK was discovered as an abundant small nuclear RNA in the mid-70s but a possible function has only recently been suggested. Two independent studies have found that 7SK RNA binds the CDK9/cyclin T complex (known as elongation factor P-TEFb). NCBI's taxonomy places the organism in Eukaryota, Metazoa, Mollusca, Gastropoda, Lottiidae. The record is from Rfam.
GAGCGUGUGUCAGGUUGACACUUCUAUACAUUGAUCGCUGACUAUCGGCCGAUCUGUACAGUUAGGUUGUCCCUCUUCGUACACACAUUCUAUACACUGGGAUUCUCGAUGCCUCGCGCUCGAUUGAGUCUCGUAUAAAUUAAUAGGGUUUAUAUGUUUCAUUCCGGCUUCUCAUCCCUGAAGUUGGGGGUUACUCGUCCACAUUUCUGACGCUCUAUCACGGCACUGUAAGUGACAGUCUGCCCUCCUUU